RNAcentral lists this ribosomal RNA (566 nucleotides) under uncultured archaeon. RNAcentral describes it as "bacterial SSU rRNA". It matches the Rfam family "Archaeal small subunit ribosomal RNA", at positions 326 to 897 of the family's 1478-position model. The record is from RNAcentral.
CGGGGUGCAGCAGGCGCGAAAACUCUACAAUGCAGGCAACUGCGAUAGGGGGACAUCGAGUGGCAUCCACCUUGGGUGCCUGUCCCACCGUCUAAAAAACGGUGGUUAGCAAGGGCCGGGCAAGACCGGUGCCAGCCGCCGCGGUAAUACCGGCGGCUCGAGUGGUGGCCGAUAUUAUUGAGUCUAAAGGGUCCGUAGCCGGCUUUGCAAGUCCCCUGGGAAAUCCAGCGGCUUAACCGUUGGGCUUUCAUGGGAUACUACAUUGCUUGGGACUGGGAGAGGUAGGAGGUACUCGGGGGGUAGGGGUGAAAUCCUGUAAUCCCCCGGGGACCACCGGUGGCGAAGGCGUCCUACCAGAACAGGUCCGACGGUGAGGGACGAAAGCUAGGGGCACGAACCGGAUUAGAUACCCGGGUAGUCCUAGCCGUAAACGAUGCCCGCUAGGUGUCACGGCGGUCGUGAAUCGCCGUGGUGCCGUAGGGAAGCCGCGAAGCGGGCCACUUGGGAAGUACGGCCGCAAGGCUGAAACUUAAAGGAAUUGGCGGGGGAGCAAAGGGCGAAUCGCG